UAAUACGAAGGGGGCUAGCGUUGUUCGGAAUUACUGGGCGUAAAGCGCACGUAGGCGGGUCGUUAAGUCAGGGGUGAAAUCCCGGAGCUCAACUCCGGAACUGCCUUUGAUACUGGCGAUCUUGAGAUCGGAAGAGGUGAGUGGAAUUCCCAGUGUAGAGGUGAAAUUCGUAGAUAUUGGGAAGAACACCAGUGGCGAAGGCGGCUCACUGGUCCGAUACUGACGCUGAGGUGCGAAAGCGUGGGGAGCAAACAGG
Molecule: ribosomal RNA, 256 nt
Filed under: uncultured bacterium
Lineage: Bacteria
Description: partial 16S ribosomal RNA
Rfam family: Bacterial small subunit ribosomal RNA
Source: RNAcentral